UAGGGAAUAUUGGGCAAUGGGCGCAAGCCUGACCCAGCGACGCCGCGUGAGGGAUGAAGGCCCUCGGGUUGUAAACUGCUUUUGUACGGAACGAAAAGGCUUUUUCUAAUACAGGGAGCUCAUGACGGUACCGUAAGAAUAAGCACCGGCUAACUACGUG
Molecule: ribosomal RNA, 160 nt
Filed under: uncultured Comamonas sp.
Lineage: Bacteria; Pseudomonadati; Pseudomonadota; Betaproteobacteria; Burkholderiales; Comamonadaceae
Description: partial 16S ribosomal RNA
Rfam family: Bacterial small subunit ribosomal RNA
Source: RNAcentral